AAGUGGAGCAGUGGUCUCUUCAC
RNAcentral lists this microRNA (23 nucleotides) under Tribolium castaneum (red flour beetle). RNAcentral describes it as "tca-miR-1175-5p". Lineage: Eukaryota; Metazoa; Arthropoda; Insecta; Coleoptera; Tenebrionidae. The record is from miRBase by way of RNAcentral.